This 72-nucleotide transfer RNA is filed under the name Lates japonicus. Its description in RNAcentral is "tRNA-Pro". It matches the Rfam family "tRNA". Rfam says of the family: Transfer RNA (tRNA) molecules are approximately 80 nucleotides in length. The record is from RNAcentral. Lineage: Eukaryota; Metazoa; Chordata; Actinopteri; Centropomidae.
CAAAGAAUGGUUUAAGUAUAAGAAUACUAGCUUUGGGGGCUAGUGGUGAGAGUUAAAGUCUCUUUUCUUUGA